RNAcentral lists this ribosomal RNA (253 nucleotides) under uncultured bacterium. RNAcentral describes it as "partial 16S ribosomal RNA". It matches the Rfam family "Bacterial small subunit ribosomal RNA", at positions 524 to 776 of the family's 1533-position model. The record is from RNAcentral.
UACGGAGGGUGCAAGCGUUACUCGGAAUCACUGGGCAUAAAGGGCGUGUAGGCGGGCUUUCAAGUCGGUUGUGAAAUCCCUCAGCUCAACUGAGGAACUGCAUCCGAUACUGUUUGUCUUGAGGACGAGAGGGGAGAGUGGAACUCCUGGUGGAGCGGUGAAAUGCGUAGAUAUCAGAAGGAACGCCGGUGGCGAAAGCGACUCUCUGGCUCGUAUCUGACGCUGAAACGCGAAAGCUUGGGUAGCAAACGGG